CAUAAAAUAGUUUAUUUAAAAUAUAAAUUUUGGAGAUUUAAGAUAUUAUUUUUAAUUUUUUUGA
Molecule: transfer RNA, 64 nt
Filed under: Euseius nicholsi
Lineage: Eukaryota; Metazoa; Arthropoda; Arachnida; Mesostigmata; Phytoseiidae
Description: tRNA-Pro
Source: RNAcentral